AACGUAGGAGGCGAGCGUUAUCCGGAGUUACUGGGCGUAAAGAGCGUGUAGGCGGGUACGCAAGUUUGGCGUGAAAGCUCCCGGCUAAACUGGGAGAGUGCGCUGAAGACUGCGUGUCUAGAGGCGAGUAGAGGGACGUGGAAUUCCGGGUGUAGUGGUGAAAUGCGUAGAUAUGUGGAGGAAUGCCGAUGGCGAAGGCAGCCUCCUGGGCCAACACUGACGCUCAUGCACGAAAGCGUGGGGAGCAAACAGG
Molecule: ribosomal RNA, 253 nt
Filed under: uncultured bacterium
Lineage: Bacteria
Description: partial 16S ribosomal RNA
Rfam family: Bacterial small subunit ribosomal RNA
Source: RNAcentral